UGUGUCUGGGUACCAUGGGAGUCAGGCCCUCUGGGCUUCACGGUUAGAAGAAGCCCUCUGCCUUGCCGGCUAUUCACCACCACGCUAUGGUGGAGCCACUAGUGUAGAAAACACACACACAAAUACACACACAGACACAGACUCAUAGAGAGCGGCAUCUAAUUUGUAGAUAUGGCGGCUACACACAACAGUGAGAGAACCCCCUGGUAAAGAAGGACUGCAAGGCAACAAUGGCUGCCGCGGCACAGGGGUAGGAAUAGGGAACGUGGGAGAUAAGACAACGGAGGAGGGGUACGAUGGAUGGAGUGAUGAGGUGUGUGUGUGUGUCUCAGACCUGCAUGGAACACCACCGUGGUCUUCUUGCAUCCCGAGAGGAGUUGGAGAUUCCGGAACAAUCCUUUGGCUGUCAACUUCACAUGGAAGUUAGACAGAGAGAGUCUAGGAGACCAUAACAUGUCUCUGGUGAGAGAUUCCUCUAGUAUAGAAGCAAAGAAAAAAGGAGGGAACAAUUCACUGUCUAGUCUUUAGUCUCUAGGUAGAUACUCCUCCAGACUAGGUUGGUCUCUGGGUAGAUACUCCUCCAGACUAGGUUGGUCUCUGGGUAGAUACUCCUCCAGACUAGGUUGGUCUCUGGGUAGAUACUCCUCCAGACUAGGUUGGUCUCUGGGUAGAUACUCCUCCAGACUAGGUUAGUCUCUGGGUAGAUACUCCUCCAGACUAGGUUAGUCUCUGGGUAGAUACUCCUCCAGACUAGGUUAGUCUCUGGGUAGAUACUCCUCCAGACUAGGUUAGUCUCUGGGUAGAUACUCCUCCAGACUAGGUUAGUCUCUAGGGUAGAUACUCCUCCAGACUAGGUUAGUCUCUAGGGUAGAUACUCCUCCAGACUAGGUUAGUCUCUAGGGUAGAUACUCCUCCAGACUAGGUUGGUCUCUAGGGUAGAUACUCCUCCAGACUAGGUUAGUCUCUAGGGUAGAUACUCCUCCAGACUAGGUUAGUCUCUGGGUAGAUACUCCUCCAGACUAGGUUGGUCUCUGGGUAGAUACUCCUCCAGACUAGGUUAGUCUCUAGGGUAGAUCCUCCUCCAGACUAGGUUGGUCUCUAGGUAGAUCCUCCUCCAGACUAGGUUAGUCUCUAGGGUAGAUCCUCCUCCAGACUAGGUUGGUCUCUAGGUAGAUCCUCCUCCAGACUAGGUUAGUCUCUAGGGUAGAUCCUCCUCCAGACUAGGUUGGUCUCUAGGUAGAUACUCCUCCAGACUAGGUUGGUCUCUAGGUAGAUACUCCUCUAGUACAGGUGAAGAAAAGGAGGGAACAAGAGAAAAAGACUCCCAACAAAACCAAGUCCAAAAGAGCAGCUACACCAC
Molecule: long non-coding RNA, 1360 nt
Organism: Oncorhynchus keta (chum salmon)
Lineage: Eukaryota; Metazoa; Chordata; Actinopteri; Salmoniformes; Salmonidae
Exons: 3
Source: RefSeq, a predicted model, not a curated record